AACCAAAGGGGGCGAGCGCAAGCGGCUCUCGCUGAGGGAUGGGCCUGCGGCUGAUUAGCUAGUUGGUGAGGUAACGGCUCACCAAGGCGACGAUCAGUAGCCGACCUGAGAGGGUGACCGGCCACACUGGGACUGAGACACGGCCCAGACUCCUACGGGAGGCAGCAGUGGGGAAUAUUGCGCAAUGGGCGAAAGCCUGACGCAGCGACGCCGCGUGGGUGAUGAAGGCCUUCGGGUCGUAAAACCCUGUCGGGUGGAACGAAUUUCCGCUUCGCUAAUACCGGAGCGGAUUGACGGUACCAUCGAAGGAAGCCCCGGCUAACUACGUGCCAGCAGCCGCGGUAAUACGUAGGGGGCGAGCGUUGUUCGGAUUUACUGGGCGUAAAGAGCGCGUAGGCGGUUCGAUAAGUCGGAGGUGAAAUCCCUCGGCUCAACCGAGGAUCCGCGUCCGAUACUGUCGAACUUGAGUGCAGGAGAGGAGAGCGGAAUUCCCAGUGUAGCGGUGAAAUGCGUAGAUAUUGGGAGGAACACCGGUGGCGAAGGCGGCUCUCUGGACUGUUACUGACGCUGAGGCGCGAAAGCUAGGGGAGCAAACGGGAUUAGAUACCCCGGUAGUCCUAGCCGUAAACGAUGGGCACUAGGUGUGGGAGGUAUCGACCCCUUCCGUGCCGAAGCUAACGCAUUAAGUGCCCCGCCUGGGGAGUACGGCCGCAAGGUUGAAACUCAAAAGAGUUGACGGGGGCCCGCACAAGCGGUGGAGCAUGUGGUUUAAUUCGACGCAACGCGAAGA
Molecule: ribosomal RNA, 790 nt
Filed under: uncultured Methylomirabilota bacterium
Lineage: Bacteria; Methylomirabilota (SeqCode)
Description: bacterial SSU rRNA
Rfam family: Bacterial small subunit ribosomal RNA
Source: RNAcentral